GACGAACGCUGGCGGCGUGCUUAACACAUGCAAGUCGAACGGAAAGGCCCUGCUUUUGUGGGGUGCUCGAGUGGCGAACGGGUGAGUAACACGUGAGUAACCUGCCCUUGACUUUGGGAUAACUUCAGGAAACUGGGGCUAAUACCGGAUAGGAGCUCCUGCUGCAUGGUGGGGGUUGGAAAGUUUCGGCGGUUGGGGAUGGACUCCCGGCUUAUCAGCUUGUUGGUGGGGUAGUGGCUUACCAAGGCUUUGACGGGUAGCCGGCCUGAGAGGGUGACCGGCCACAUUGGGACUGAGAUACGGCCCAGACUCCUACGGGAGGCAGCAGUGGGGAAUAUUCAACAUUGGGCGGAAGCCUGAUGCAGCAACGCCGCUUGCGGGAGGACGGCCUUCGGUUUGUAAACCGCUUUGGCCUGGGACGAAGCGUGAGUGACGGUAAUGGGUAAAGAAGCACCGGCUAACUACGUG
RNAcentral lists this ribosomal RNA (468 nucleotides) under uncultured bacterium. RNAcentral's name for it is "partial 16S ribosomal RNA". It matches the Rfam family "Bacterial small subunit ribosomal RNA", at positions 28 to 507 of the family's 1533-position model. The record is from RNAcentral.